UACGAAGGGGGGCUAGCGUUGUUCGGAAUUACUGGGCGUAAAGCGUACGUAGGCGGAUUGUUAAGUGAGGGGUGAAAUCCCGAGGCUCAACCUCGGAACUGCCUUUCAUACUGGCAAUCUUGAGUCCGGGAGAGGUGAGUGGAACUCCUAGUGUAGAGGUGAAAUUCGUAGAUAUUAGGAAGAACACCAGUGGCGAAGGCGGCUCACUGGCCCGGAACUGACGCUGAGACGCGAAAGCGUGGGGAGCAAACAGGG
RNAcentral lists this ribosomal RNA (255 nucleotides) under uncultured bacterium. RNAcentral describes it as "partial 16S ribosomal RNA". It matches the Rfam family "Bacterial small subunit ribosomal RNA", at positions 524 to 777 of the family's 1533-position model. The record is from RNAcentral.